UUGAACGCUGGCGGCAGGCCUAACACCUGCAAGUCGCACGGUAACAGGAAGAAGCUUGCUUCUUUGCUGACGAGUGGCGGACGGGUGAGUAAUGUCUGGGAAACUGCCUGAUGGAGGGGGAUAACUACUGGAAACGGUAGCUAAUACCGCAUAACGUCGCAAGACCAAAGAGGGGGACCUUCGGGCCUCUUGCCAUCGGAUGUGCCCAGAUGGGAUUAGCUAGUAGGUGGGGUAACGGCUCACCUAGGCGACGAUCCCUAGCUGGUCUGAGAGGAUGACCAGCCACACUGGAACUGAGACACGGUCCAGACUCCUACGGGAGGCAGCAGUGGGGAAUAUUGCACAAUGGGCGCAAGCCUGAUGCAGCCAUGCCGCGUGUAUGAAGAAGGCCUUCGGGUUGUAAAGUACUUUCAGCGGGGAGGAAGGGAGUAAAGUUAAUACCUUGACUCAUUGACGUUACCCGCAGAAGAAGCACCGGCUAACUCCGUG
This 489-nucleotide ribosomal RNA is filed under the name uncultured bacterium. RNAcentral describes it as "partial 16S ribosomal RNA". It matches the Rfam family "Bacterial small subunit ribosomal RNA", at positions 30 to 507 of the family's 1533-position model. The record is from RNAcentral.